This 254-nucleotide ribosomal RNA is filed under the name uncultured bacterium. RNAcentral describes it as "partial 16S ribosomal RNA". It matches the Rfam family "Bacterial small subunit ribosomal RNA", at positions 524 to 776 of the family's 1533-position model. The record is from RNAcentral.
UACGUAGGGUGCAAGCGUUGUCCGGAAUUAUUGGGCGUAAAGAGCUCGUAGGCGGUCUGUCGCGUCGGCUGUGAAAACUCGGGGGCUCAACUCCGAGCUUGCAGUCGAUACGGGCAGGCUAGAGUUCGGCAGGGGAGACUGGAAUUCCUGGUGUAGCGGUGAAAUGCGCAGAUAUCAGGAGGAACACCGGUGGCGAAGGCGGGUCUCUGGGCCGAUACUGACGCUGAGGAGCGAAAGCGUGGGGAGCGAACAGG